CCCUUAGAGUUUGAUCCUGGCUCAGGAUGAACGCUAGCUACAGACUUAACACAUGCAAGUCGAGGGGAAACGACAUCGAAAGCUUGCUUUUGAUGGGCGUCGACCGGCGCACGGGUGAGUAACGCGUAUCCAACCUGCCCACCACUUGGGGAUAACCUUGCGAAAGUAAGACUAAUACCCAAUGAUAUCUCUAGAAGACAUCUGAAAGAGAUUAAAGAUUUAUCGGUGAUGGAUGGGGAUGCGUCUGAUUAGCUUGUUGGCGGGGUAACGGCCCACCAAGGCGACGAUCAGUAGGGGUUCUGAGAGGAAGGUCCCCCACAUUGGAACUGAGACACGGUCCAAACUCCUACGGGAGGCAGCAGUGAGGAAUAUUGGUCAAUGGACGAGAGUCUGAACCAGCCAAGUAGCGUGCAGGAUGACGGCCCUAUGGGUUGUAAACUGCUUUUAUAAGGGAAUAAAGUGAGUCUCGUGAGACUUUUUGCAUGUACCUUAUGAAUAAGGACCGGCUAAUUCCGUGCCGGCAGCCGCGGUAAUACGGAAGGUCCGGGCGUUAUCCGGAUUUAUUGGGUUUAAAGGGAGCGUAGGCCGGAGAUUAAGCGUGUUGUGAAAUGUAGAUGCUCAACAUCUGCACUGCAGCGCGAACUGGUUUCCUUGAGUACGCACAAAGUGGGCGGAAUUCGUGGUGUAGCGGUGAAAUGCUUAGAUAUCACGAAGAACUCCGAUUGCGAAGGCAGCUCACUGGAGCGCAACUGACGCUGAAGCUCGAAAGUGCGGGUAUCGAACAGGAUUAGAUACCCUGGUAGUCCGCACGGUAAACGAUGGAUGCCCGCUGUUGGUCUGAAUAGGUCAGCGGCCAAGCGAAAGCAUUAAGCAUCCCACCUGGGGAGUACGCCGGCAA
This 898-nucleotide ribosomal RNA is filed under the name uncultured bacterium. RNAcentral describes it as "bacterial SSU rRNA". It matches the Rfam family "Bacterial small subunit ribosomal RNA", at positions 1 to 891 of the family's 1533-position model. The record is from RNAcentral.